AGAACCUUUUCAUCUUGCAAGGCUGUAACUCUAUACUCAUUGAACAACAAUUCCUCUUUUACUCUCACCCCCAGGCUCUGGAGUGACCAACCUCGCAUAACCAAAGAUGUGAUUUGUUUUCAUGCUGAGGAUUUUACUGAUGUUGUACAAAGACUUCAGUUAGAUCUUCAUGAACCUCCAGUUUCCCAGUGCGUACAGUGGGUAGAUGAAGCUAAACUAAACCAAAUGAGGCGGGAAGGCAUUCGUUAUGCUAGAAUUCAGCUUUGCGACAAUGAUAUCUACUUCAUCCCUAGAAAUGUCAUUCAUCAGUUCAAAACAGUUUCGGCAGUGUGCAGCUUAGCCUGGCAUAUAAGGCUUAAACAGUACCACCCUGUUGUGGAAGCCACUCAAAACACAGAAAGCAAUUCUAACAUGGACUGUGGUUUAACUGGAAAGCGAGAAUUAGAAGUUGACUCCCAAUGUGUGAGGAUAAAAACUGAAUCUGAAGAAACAUGCACA
Molecule: small RNA, 498 nt
Filed under: Pongo abelii (Sumatran orangutan)
Lineage: Eukaryota; Metazoa; Chordata; Mammalia; Primates; Hominidae
Description: processed transcript
Source: RNAcentral